This 434-nucleotide ribosomal RNA is filed under the name uncultured bacterium. RNAcentral describes it as "bacterial SSU rRNA". It matches the Rfam family "Bacterial small subunit ribosomal RNA", at positions 29 to 507 of the family's 1533-position model. The record is from RNAcentral.
AACGAACGCUGGCGGCAUGCCUAACACAUGCAAGUCGAACGAAGCCUUCGGGCUUAGUGGCGCACGGGUGCGUAACACGUGGGAAUCUGCCCUUCGGUUCGGAAUAACAGUUAGAAAUGACUGCUAAUACCGGAUGAUGACGUAAGUCCAAAGAUUUAUCGCCGAAGGAUGAGCCCGCGUAGGAUUAGGUAGUUGGUAGGGUAAUGGCCUACCAAGCCGACGAUCCUUAGCUGGUCUGAGAGGAUGAUCAGCCACACUGGGACUGAGACACGGCCCAGACUCCUACGGGAGGCAGCAGUGGGGAAUAUUGGACAAUGGGCGAAAGCCUGAUCCAGCAAUGCCGCGUGAGUGAUGAAGGCCUUAGGGUUGUAAAGCUCUUUUACCAGGGAUGAUAAUGACAGUACCUGGAGAAUAAGCUCCGGCUAAACUCCGUG